UCCCCACAUCGGGACUUGG
RNAcentral lists this microRNA (19 nucleotides) under Callorhinchus milii (elephant shark). Its description in RNAcentral is "eshark_NOVEL_211". The record is from RNAcentral. Lineage: Eukaryota; Metazoa; Chordata; Chondrichthyes; Chimaeriformes; Callorhinchidae.